UGAGGAAUAUUGCGCAAUGGGCGAAAGCCUGACGCAGCGACGCCGCGUGGAGGAUGAAGGUUUUCGGAUUGUAAACUCCUGUUAAGUGGGAAGAAACGACAAAAUAUAAUACAUUUUGUAACUGACGGUACCAUUAAAGAAAGCACCGGCUAACUUCGUGCCAGCAGCCGCGGUAAUACGAGGGGUGCAAGCGUUAUUCGGAAUUAUUGGGCGUAAAGGGUGCGUAGGCGGCGUAUUAAGUCAACUGUUAAAACCUCCAGCCUAACUGGAGAUCAGCAGUAGAUACUGGUAUGCUAGAGGAUGGAAGAGAGAAGUGGAAUUCUUGGAGUAGCGGUGGAAUGCGUAGAUCUCAAGAGGAACACCAAUGGCGAAGGCAGCUUCUUGGUCCAUAUCUGACGCUGAUGCACGAAAGCGUGGGGAGCAAAACAGGAUUAGAUACCCUGGUAGUCCACGCCGUAAACGAUGAUCACUAGAUGUUAAUUCUGCUUGCAGAAUUAGUGUCGUAGCUAACGCGAUAAGUGAUCCGCCUGGGGGACUACGGUCGCAAGAUUAAAA
This 555-nucleotide ribosomal RNA is filed under the name uncultured bacterium. RNAcentral's name for it is "partial 16S ribosomal RNA". It matches the Rfam family "Bacterial small subunit ribosomal RNA", at positions 355 to 899 of the family's 1533-position model. The record is from RNAcentral.